Molecule: long non-coding RNA, 693 nt
Filed under: Elaeis guineensis (African oil palm)
Lineage: Eukaryota; Viridiplantae; Streptophyta; Magnoliopsida; Arecales; Arecaceae
Description: long non-coding RNA (EGUI_LNC022017)
Source: RNAcentral
CACACACAGUAAAACGGAGCAACCGCAUUGGUGCAUCAAGGUUUUGUGCCACGUGGAGUGGACCGCGGAAGUAGUCUUCGCCUGUACGUGCUCCUGGAACCUCGUGGUGCUGCAUCGUGCGUCAUCCUCGGCGGCCUCCGCCAGGGAGUCUUCCUCCCACAUCGCGCGUCGUCCUCAGCUUCCUCCGCCUCGGUGGCCUCUGGCAUCCACGUCGUAACCCUCGCGUCCUGUGCAGGUGAGGUAGGGAGAGGAAGACUCCUAGAGCUCGGUGGAGGAGAGGCGACGACGAGGAAGCCCGAGGGGGCGGCGGAGAUGGUGGAUGGGGGUUUGCAGCCGGAGAGGGGGUGGGCGAGGGAGCGGCGGAGGGUGAAUGGGUCGAAGAGGGGAGGAUCAGAGGAAAAAAAAAGGUGAGGACGGUAUCGCGGCGGCAAAGGGCGAAGAAGAGGGCUGCAGCGAAAACGGGCCUUCCUCUCCGUCAGCGAAGUGGUGGGCGAGAAAAGGUGAAACAGUAGGCCCAAUUUUGCAGCGAUGAACGGAAGAAUGUCAAGAUGGAAUUAUGGUGGGACCGAUUGACAAACCUGCCGAGUUGAUAAGUUCAAAUUGCAGAUAUAAAUUGAAAUUCUAUUGAAAUUUGGAUCGAUGGGUAUGCAGGAUUUCUAUAAAUAUUUUUAUUAAUUUUUUACUAUUUUAUUU